GGGGCUGUAGUGUAGCUUGGUAUCAUUCUACCUUGGGGUGGUAGCGACGGGAGUUCAAAUCUUCCCAGCCCCA
RNAcentral lists this transfer RNA (73 nucleotides) under Candidatus Woesearchaeota archaeon. RNAcentral describes it as "tRNA-Pro". It matches the Rfam family "tRNA". Rfam says of the family: Transfer RNA (tRNA) molecules are approximately 80 nucleotides in length. Their secondary structure includes four short double-helical elements and three loops (D, anti-codon, and T loops). Lineage: Archaea; Nanobdellati; Candidatus Woesearchaeota. The record is from RNAcentral.